This 301-nucleotide ribosomal RNA is filed under the name uncultured bacterium. Its description in RNAcentral is "partial 16S ribosomal RNA". It matches the Rfam family "Bacterial small subunit ribosomal RNA", at positions 509 to 807 of the family's 1533-position model. The record is from RNAcentral.
CAGCAGCCACGGUAAUACGUAGGUGGCAAGCGUUGUCCGGAAUUAUUGGGCGUAAAGGGCUCGCAGGCGGUUUCUUAAGUCUGAUGUGAAAGCCCCCGGCUCAACCGGGGAGGGUCAUUGGAAACUGGGAAACUUGAGUGCAGAAGAGGAGAGUGGAAUUCCACGUGUAGCGGUGAAAUGCGUAGAGAUAUGGAGGAACACCAGUGGCGAAGGCGACUCUCAGGUCUGUAACUGACGCUGAGGAGCGAAAGCGUGGGGAGCGAACAGGAUUAGAGACCCCCGUAGUCCCUGUCUCUUAUAC